UGUGUUAUUGAACUGCCAGAGCUGAAGGUACAUUUUACUUCCAAUGCAUAUCUCCCUGUUUAGGUGAACAGAACAUUGGUCAUACUUAAUUGUUAGAAUUAUUGUCAUGCUCUUAUUAGGAAUUUUCCAUUCAUGUAUUUUUUGUUUGGUUAGCUUUUGAUAAGUAAUCAUUGGGAGGUUUGGUUUCAUGUAGUUAAUGCAUGCAACUAUGAGAAUUAGUUGCAUGAAUAAAGGACAAAGGAACUUCACAUUGAUGUGAUUCUAUCGAGGAUUAUACCACUUGUUAUCCACCUAAAUAUACUAGGAUUAGACAGUUUCGUGCUCCAUGUGCUUUUAUCCUCGUGCAGUUGAAUAACACAAUGCCUAGUUCAUGCACACUACCAUUGGUACAAGCAGACUGAGAAUGCACCUUAUGACUUGAGGCUAGCUACAAGGAAGGAAAGAUGUGCAAGCCAUGAUCAGAAGUUCACCAGCGAAACACUUAAACUACGCUUUUCUGCAGUUUUUGAAAUAAUAAUUAAUUAACUGCCUAAGGUCAUGAAUUUUACAGCUUAAUGAAUCAUAAUUUUCAUCUAUGAGCAAAACUGAAUUCUAGUUAGAUAUGACUUAUAGUUGCUUAUCAUCAGAAUUUUGGUUUGUCCCAAUGAUGUUUCCCUUCUGCAUGUAUGUCCUAACCAUGGCAUGUAUUUCAGGGCCGGGACAAGUUGGGGGACAUGCCAGUUUUUGUCCUAGUGCAGGCAGACGAGUCAGUAUGAAACAAGUUGUGACUCUUGAGUUGUUCCAAUGAUGUUUCCCUUCUGGAACUAUACUGGAAGCAGCAAAGAUAUCCGUUACAAUCUUAGCUAGUUCCUAUCUGGAGCUGCUCAAUAAAAGUUUUAUCUUUAAAUUUGUCCUUCUGGAACUGUUUGGGAAUGCAGACUUGAUUGUUGUUCCCUGUAAUAUGUGGCUUAUUUCUGUCAAAAACAGUGCAAAUUAUUCAUGUCAAUGAAGGAUAGUCUGUACUGAAGUUUGUUUCUGUUGCUACUUGCUAGCAUUAUUUACUUUCAUGCUUUGUUGGUGCUUGUCAUGACUGAAAAUUGCCGACCCAUUUUUUGUUGAUGUAUUCAGAUCUCCUGCAUUUAUCUGAGAUUUUUGUGGUGUCUGUACUUGGUACACUCAUGGAUGUGUUUCUUCGAUGACCAUUGGCCAUGUUGGGUUAUGGUUAUGUUUUUGUAGUUUGAUGUGUGUCUACUCAAAUGUACGUACAUUGUACCAUCUUAGUGUCGGUCGAGUUAUGAGUUGCAUCUGGCCAUGUCAUGCGGUUGAUCUUACCUACUCCCUCUAGUACUUGUAUGGUUGGAAAAUCCCCAGACAGAAUUGCACUUCUGAAUAAAUAAAAAUUAGUUGCUCAGGUCGAUCAGGAUCUUGAAUCUUUGCCAACAAUAAUUCUGUUCUUGUUUGAAUUUUUUGGGUUAUCAUCAUGCUAUAAUUGAACUACCUACCUGUGAGAAGGUAAUUUCAAAGGAUACAGGAACUUCAGUAGUUUUGUAUCCAGUUGGAAUUUCAUUUCUUUCUGAGCAUGUAUCAUGGUCUAUUUUUGUUAACUACUCCCCCUGUUCCCAAAUAUAAGUCUUUGUAGAGGUUUCAAAUGAACUACAACAUACGGAUGUAUAGACAUAUUUUAGAGUGUAGAUUCACUCAUUUUGCUCCGUAUCUAGUCCCUUGUUGAAAUCUCUAAAAAGGCUUAUAUUUGGGAACGGAGUAGCAAUAUUGCUUAACUGAGCUAUGCUUUUGAAAGUUGGAACUCGAAACUAUAUGGCCAAAAUGUUUUGCUAGGGUGUUCUUUUUGCAGCCAUAGUCAACAAUUUGUGAAUUAAUUCUGAUGCUUCCUUGUCUGAUGUCCUAAUCGAAGAUGCCAGAGUAUUGUUUGACUUCGAAGUUAUUUAUGUAUUCAGGGAAUAGUUUCAGGAUUUCCUUUUGACGUUGAACUAUUAUGUAUAAUCUCUGACUUCUAUUUUGUUUCAUGUUCUUCGAAAGUUUCAUCUGUUUACUUUGACUUCUUUUGCCUGGCAUUAACUGAUGAAUGUUGAAAUUCUUUGUGGUUUCUGGGGAUAGGGGCAGUGUAACUACUAUCAAUCUUCAUAUAUGAAGAAAGAAAUAUAUUAUCUUGACAUUGGUGCCUGCAUACUUUUUAGGUUGUGGUUUGAUAAAAUGUUUUCUCAUUGAAUAUGUUUAAGCUGAAUGGAAACUGUAUCUGAUGUUUUGGUAUCGAUGCAUGACUUCGUUUGGAAGCUACAUAGUUCAGUCAUAGCACAAUAUCUGUGUUUGACUAGUUUAGACGGCAAUGUGAACAAUUUUUACUGGUUAGUGCCCUAAUUUCCCCCUUGCUAUUAACUUCGGAAAAUACAUUGAGGAACUUGGUUUCUUGGUAAACUAUCGUAUUGACUUUUGUGCGAUCAACACAAAUAAUGAAAUAGUAAACAAUAUUGCAUUACUUUUGUCAACUGAAAGUGACAUAAAUAUCACAACUCUUAUAUUCUUACUUCUGCUUUUAUUUAGUAAUAUAUUUGUUGAUUUAGAAUCCUGUGGAUUGUGAUCACUUAAUGCUGACAUGGUAAAUUGCUCCCACCUCCCCACAAUUCAUUACUCGGAUAUUUACUAUGAGCAGGUAAACAAACUAACUGACAUACUUUUUAAAAUAUUGGACUCCUAUUUAUACAAAUAAUGUUUGUUUAUAAAACAUAACCUCCCAUUUUAUAAUAAUGUCAAAAACUUAAAAUUACGAUAUGACUUUGAGGAAGUGAAAAAGGAACAUGUAGAGAUAUUCUUAGAUCUGUAAGUUUAGCUAUCUUUUCAAGCAGCUAUGUUCAUCUUAAAAAACUAUUAUUCUUCACAGAAACCAUAGCAGGGGAAGCCUAUUCCUCAACAUAGUUUAUUCGUGCCAGUUUGUGCACAUAAUUUAAAAGCUAGGAAACACUAACAAGAGAAUGUCUUUUAGGAUAUUCGAAAGGGAGUAAUCUCACAAGCAAUUUGGCUUUCCCAUGCUAUUAGUUGACCUUCUAGGAAGCAGAAAAUAAACGUAACCGCAUAUUUAGUAAUGAUCUCAUGUCAAGCUAUUCAUUCUACUCUGUUAAUGAUAUCUGCUUGCCUGUUUAGGUCUUCUGUAAUGCAUAUUUUGCCGCGUAACAUCAGAGGCAUCCUUGCUUCUUUGAUACAGCUAAAGGGUAGGGAUCAUGGGCCAUAAACUAACCUCGUAUUGUUUCCUUUGAAUCAUUCUCCUUGCCAGCAUCUUAGUUGUUCUUGUUUACCAAAGAGGGGCAUGCAAUCUUUUUUCAGAACAUGACAGAAGUACAGCUGAUUUGUGCAUUGUGGUGGAUCUGAGUCAUGUGCAGCUAUUGAUUACUAGAUAUAUACGCAGAUCACUUCCUACCCAUGAGGAUAGCAGGAUCAGAUCUCCAUGUCGGAUGUCGCGCAAACUUGACACCUUAAAGGGAGACCUACAUUGUGGCACCCAUUCUGGUGAUGCACAUGCUCAUUGAUUGUUAAAACGUGCCAUAAUCUGAAUUUAAGAUCUAACUGGGGUUUCAACACAGUUUUUUGGGAAUGUUGCUGUAAUGUUACCAUGUUGACCUUCGGAUACGUUAGAAUGAAGAAACCAAGUGAUGACAAUGAAUGAUACAGAUCUGUUCAUUUUUUCAGCACAUUUUGCUGGUCCAUUAUCACUGCAUUUCUCUGGUUUGAUGCUGUUGGCAGAAACUUAUUUCUAUGUUAGUUCAGGAUAGAAAGUUUAACUAGAUUGAUGUCGGUUAUCGUGUGUAAAAUGUCAAUGUGGUAAAUCUUUCAGGAUACCAACCUCCAACAUCUUGCAAGUGUUGAACAUCAAUGCUGCUGCUGCUGCUGCGGGCACAGGGUGUGAGAAUUAUUUGCAGAUCAAGACCGUGAUAUCCAUAGAGGCGUGCUUUCAUAUAUCCUCUUUUGAGUUCUUAAGAAUGUUCAGAUUCCUUCCACCAUGUUCGUGCAGGCAUGUCUUUGCAUAUCCUACUUUUGUUUAUUCCAUCUCUAACCAACACCAGUACACAUAUUUUUGAAAGAAAGAAAGCAUGAGCACAUAGUUGUCUUGAUCUUAUUCUAUUCUAUUCCAAGGUAAACUCUUGCUAUCCCGGUUCAGAGCUCAUAGACUUCCUUUGCCUGUCCUCGAUGAAUCAUGGACCAAUGAUUAGUAAAAUGUCUCUAAUCAUUGUGCGGUUUCUUCGGAGACAGGCCGCAUAACUGUAAUCUUGGACAAGUCACUGUCUUGCCCACCAACCAGCAGUUGAAAUUCUUCAAACUUGUCGUCUUCAGCUCUUCACAUCCUCACAACAUACCAAUGUCUGUUGCUGAUCGCAAACCUAUCACCACACACUUCAUGCCACCCAUUGACUGUCCUUUGUUUACUCAUGCUCACAUUUUCUUUAUUCUGCAGAUGUUGUUCCCUGCAACCUCUCAGAACUCUGAACAGUAUAAAAGCACCUGAACUGUUGUGCAUUUGUCUUCACCCCUCUCAACAGCAAGUGCCUCCAACCACACUCCCCAGGCCGCCUUUCGCCUCCAAGGCUCCCAAGUCCCAAAUUCACAUCUCAAUGGAGGCUGGAGGCCUGAUUUCGGAGGCUGGCUGGACCAUGUUUGACUUCCCGCCGCAGGGCGAGGAGUCCGAUAUCAUAGCGCAGCUGCUUGGCACCUUCCCCUCCCAUGGCGAGGAUGCCCAGCAGGAUCUGCCUUGGUACCAGGCUUCCCAUCCAUCCUUCUAUGACACUGAUCUUAAUACAAGUGCAUGUAGUGAUAGCAAUGAUGGUAGCUUUGCUGUUCCAUCCGAGUGUAUGGGCUACUAUUUGGGUGAUUCAAGUGAGACCCUGGGCAUCAGCUCCUGCACUGCACCACAGGACCUGAACUUGGUCCAGGAGCAAGGUGCUAUCGAGUAUCUGAAUAUGAUUCCAACCAUUUCCCAUGAUUUGUUCGGGAACGGCGAGUCAAGCUGCGAGGUUCUCAACUCGGUCAGUGCUACUAACAAGAGAAAGCACUCGGUGGAAGAAGAAAUCGAGGGCCAAGCAAGAGUAAGUCCUGAGGAUGACUGAUCAUUCUGUUCACCGGCUAUGUCUUUUAGAAAGAUACGUUCAUGCUGUUAGUGUGAAUACUGACUCUAAUUGAUUAAUUGCAGGGUCGGAAAUGCGCAAGGAAGGCUGCACCGAAGCGAGCAAAGAAUGCCAAGCAAACCGAAGCGAGCUGCUGCACCUCUGACAAUGACUCGAAUGCUUCUCAAGAGUCUGCGGAUGCUGGUGUUACUCCAAAAGGCAAGGCCCGGGCUGGACGCGGGGCGGCAACCGAUCCCCAGAGCCUCUAUGCAAGGGUACUGCCAAUAAUCAUCUCUUUCGCAUCUGAAGGAAUUAUCUUUUGCAACUGAAUGUGAAGUACUAAUUCUCUGUUCUUUGCUUGAGCAGAAAAGGAGGGAAAGGAUCAACGAGAGGCUGAAGACACUGCAGACCCUUGUGCCCAAUGGAACCAAAGUAUGCUUCUGAACAUUCAUGCUACUGGUAGCCUACAUGAAUAAAAAUGCUAAGAUCCAAUGGCUAAAUCAACAAUGUUUUUGUAUUGAUCUUGCAGGUAGAUAUGAGCACCAUGCUUGAAGAGGCAGUCCAGUAUGUCAAAUUCCUGCAACUUCAGAUCAAGGUGAGCAGUUGCUCAAUUUAGUUCGCUUCGACAUCAGACAAAUUGUUCCAUGGCGGACAUUGCAACUGACGAAUUUCUCUCGUCAAUUUUCAGGUCCUCAGCUCUGAUGAAAUGUGGAUGUACGCGCCGAUUGCGUACAACGGGAUGAACAUUGGACUUGAUCUGAACAUGUAGAGAUGAUUUUGGCAGUCUCAAGCGGGAACGCAGUUUGUGUUUGAGAUAAACGAAAAACGAGUUCUCCACUAACCAUUCAAUGUACCUGUGUUACCAUGUGUCGUUUUGGAAGCUGUUAUACAGAUCAUCAUAGGCGCAGCAGUAGCAUACUUAAACUUGUGAAGAGGCCCUCUUAGAGGAUCAGUAAACUGAAGAUAAUACUACCAUUUUCUUGACAUUAGCAUGAAAUGCAAGAUCUUGAAAACUUGUAGAUUUGUAUUUGUUUUCUUUGGAGCAAAUAUAGUUCUUUUGUUGGCAUGUGAUGAUUUGUUCAAUGAUCUAGUCUCUUGUGGUUUGCAAAGUUGCAGCCUUGAGGAUCUCAAACCCUGACACUUUAAGAUAAAUGACUGAAACUGCGAAAUCAUAUUGGAAUGAGCUUCAUAAUUUUUGGCGGACACAAUCGUUCGGUCUUGCGAUAUACUAUGAGCUAUCACCAUAAAAAAAAAA
This 6342-nucleotide long non-coding RNA is filed under the name Triticum aestivum (bread wheat). Its description in RNAcentral is "long non-coding RNA (TAES_LNC005160)". The record is from RNAcentral. Lineage: Eukaryota; Viridiplantae; Streptophyta; Magnoliopsida; Poales; Poaceae.